RNAcentral lists this transfer RNA (71 nucleotides) under Marmota marmota marmota (Alpine marmot). It matches the Rfam family "tRNA". From Rfam's summary of the family: Transfer RNA (tRNA) molecules are approximately 80 nucleotides in length. Their secondary structure includes four short double-helical elements and three loops (D, anti-codon, and T loops). The record is from Rfam by way of RNAcentral. RNAcentral also lists the same sequence under 1 other name. Lineage: Eukaryota; Metazoa; Chordata; Mammalia; Rodentia; Sciuridae.
GUGGCUGUGGCUCAGUGGCAGAGUGCUUGCCUAGCAUGUACAAGGCACUGGGUUCAAUCCUCAGCACCACA